AAAGAGCUUGCUCUUUCCGGAAUUGAGUGGCAAACGGGUGAGUAACACGUAAACAACCUGCCUUCAGGAUGGGGACAACAGACGGAAACGACUGCUAAUACCGAAUAAGUUCCAAGAGCCGCACGGCCCAUGGAAGAAAAGGUGGCCUCUACCUGUAAGCUAUCGCCUGAAGAGGGGUUUGCGUCUGAUUAGCUGGUUGGAGGGGUAACGGCCCACCAAGGCGACGAUCAGUAGCCGGUCUGAGAGGAUGAACGGCCACACUGGAACUGAGACACGGUCCAGACUCCUACGGGAGGCAGCAGUGGGGAAUCUUCCGCAAUGGGCGAAAGCCUGACGGAGCAACGCCGCGUGAGUGAUGACGGCCUUCGGGUUGUAAAACUCUGUGAUCCGGGACGAAAAGGCAGAGUGCGAAGAACAAACUGCAUUGACGGUACCGGAAAAGCAAGCCACGGCUAACUACGUGCCAGCAGCCGCGGUAAUACGUAGGUGGCAAGCGUUGUCCGGAAUUAUUGGGCGUAAAGCGCGCGCAGGCGGCU
RNAcentral lists this ribosomal RNA (536 nucleotides) under uncultured Peptococcaceae bacterium. RNAcentral's name for it is "bacterial SSU rRNA". It matches the Rfam family "Bacterial small subunit ribosomal RNA", at positions 73 to 580 of the family's 1533-position model. Lineage: Bacteria; Bacillati; Bacillota; Clostridia; Eubacteriales; Peptococcaceae. The record is from RNAcentral.